UAGCAUGUGGCAGUGGAGC
RNAcentral lists this non-coding RNA (19 nucleotides) under Rattus norvegicus (Norway rat). The record is from RNAcentral. Lineage: Eukaryota; Metazoa; Chordata; Mammalia; Rodentia; Muridae.